AUGUGACCCAAUCCGACCCAGUGAGAUCCAAUGAGAUGAUUGCAGGGAAUGCUGGGACGGAGGCAGGUGGCUUCCCAGUGGACCUGAAGCUGAGACAAUGUGAGGUCCGGAGGGGCUGCAGCCAUUUUACAUCCAUGAAGGAGGAGCCUGUCAGAGAAAGGAGUCAACGUGAAAGGAGCAAGGAGACAGUGGUGUGGGGAGAGAGGCAUCGGGCCCUGAUGGCGCCAUGGAGCCUGAACCCAGUCUUGCAGGAGCCAGCGGUAGCCCUGGACUGUGCAGGAGCUUGAAUCCGAAAUCCCCUGGUUAAAGUUGGCUUUUCUGUCACUUGUAUCCCAACGAGUUCCAGCUGCUCAGAGCACUUAGGGCCCUGUCUGGCCUUCCUCACGACACAAGACAGGGACAGGGGAAGGGUCCUCUGACACGGGGUGACCUCCUCCCAGGCUCGGGCCAUGGACUAGCAUGAGACUUCGGAGCUCAACCCUGGAUUCUGAUGGCCUGGGGUGAAGUCCGGCCUCUCCUCUUGCUCACUGUGCAACUUCUACCUCACUUUACUUAUGUUCAAUUCAGGAACAUAACAGAACACACCUCAUAGGGCUGCUGUGAAAAUGCAGGGGAUUAGACAAGUAAAUUCCUGGUGCCUGUAAGGGGUCAAAUAAUGUCAGCUGGGCUGUCCCUAUGUCCCCAAUACCCAGCCCAGUGUCUGGAGUGGGAGCGCCUCAGGACAUGUGUGACGAGGGUGUGGGAUGAGAUCACAUAAGGGCUGUAAACCCCCUGUGAGGAGGAGGAUCCCAGAGGACAAGGGAGCAAGGGUCCCCUGGAAGGUGUAGGUCAGGAGCUGAUGAUCAAGGAAUAGUGGGAUGAAGAUGGAAAGAGGGAGGUGGGGAACAGAGGAUUGUCCCACUGACCAGCCAUGAGGACAACUGGGAGGGGCUGGCCAGAGUCACAGUUGAGGAUUCCCUAUCACGAAGCAAAUGUACAAGGACCACAGUGGCAUGAUAUGGCAUGAUGUGUUAUGACAUAUCACCCAGUGAGGGAG
RNAcentral lists this long non-coding RNA (1036 nucleotides) under Homo sapiens (human). RNAcentral describes it as "HSALNT0197626". The record is from RNAcentral. Lineage: Eukaryota; Metazoa; Chordata; Mammalia; Primates; Hominidae.